This 254-nucleotide ribosomal RNA is filed under the name uncultured bacterium. RNAcentral describes it as "partial 16S ribosomal RNA". It matches the Rfam family "Bacterial small subunit ribosomal RNA", at positions 524 to 776 of the family's 1533-position model. The record is from RNAcentral.
UACGGAGGGUGCGAGCGUUGUCCGGAAUCAUUGGGCGUAAAGGGCGCGUAGGUGGCCCGGUCAGUUCGUGGUGAAAGCGCGGGGCUCAACCCUGCGUCGGCCAUGAAUACUGCCGCGGCUGGAGCACUGUAGAGGCAGGCGGAAUUCCACAUGUAGCGGUGAAAUGCGUAGAUAUGUGGAGGAACACCGGUGGCGAAAGCGGCUUUCUAGUUUAUACCUGACGCUGAGGCGCGAGAGCAAGGGGAGCAAACAGG